UUGUAAUAUAAUAAGUAGCCACUAACUCAAAAUUGCAAAGGAGGACCUCCAACAUUUCUAUAAUAAAACAUUAAAUUCUAAACUUCCAGCCAUAUAUAAGUAGAUAUCUAAAAUUUUAUUUUGUCCAACUUAAACCUUCAAAAUAUUUUUCGUAAUAAAUUAAGUCCCAAUUAAAAUAAUUUAUUUCAUUUUAGUCCCUUUUGACUUUGACUUUGACAAUUCGACAUUUUAUUUUUUACUAGAAAAAUUUGGGUCGUAACAAUUUUACCUCCUUAAAAGAAUUUCGUCCUUGAAAUUCAAUCAACUAGUAUUCUAGCACAUAAAGGUAUAAAGCACAUACAAUGAAUGAUUUUCCCAGCAACCUUUAACUAGACAUAAUUUUAUUCUUUCAUAGCUAGCAUCUGAUUUGGCUUUGUCUAAGUUGAGCUCUCUUUACUUUGAUGGUAACCUUAAAGCAUACAUUAAAUCUGAUAUCUACUUACUAAGCCUUAAAAAUAGACCAUAAAUAUCAGAUAACUUAAUUAUAAACUCCAUCGUUAAACAAUUGAACCCAAGUUUUAAAUACAUCUCAAGGACCAAUGCAUGACAUUCCCAUCUUUUCAUUUUACCAAAUUUAGAAAAAUUUAAUUAUUUCCCAAUUUGAAGUUCAAAAUAAUACUUUUCAUAUUCUCCAA
This 674-nucleotide long non-coding RNA is filed under the name Olea europaea (common olive). RNAcentral describes it as "long non-coding RNA (OEUR_LNC012915)". Lineage: Eukaryota; Viridiplantae; Streptophyta; Magnoliopsida; Lamiales; Oleaceae. The record is from RNAcentral.